ACGAACGCUGGCGGCGUGCCUAAUACAUGCAAGUCGAACGGUCUUUCUAUGGAAGCUUGCUUCCACUGAGAAGAUAGUGGCGAACGGGUGAGUAACACGUGGGUAACCUGCCCAUAAGAGGGGGAUAACAUCCGGAAACGGGUGCUAAUACCGCAUAGUUUUCUUGAUCGCAUGAUUGAGAAAGGAAAGACGGCCUUUGUGCUGUCGCUUAUGGAUGGACCCGCGGCGUAUUAGUUAGUUGGUGAGGUAACGGCUCACCAAGACGAUGAUACGUAGCCGACCUGAGAGGGUGAUCGGCCACAUUGGGACUGAGACACGGCCCAAACUCCUACGGGAGGCAGCAGUAGGGAAUCUUCCGCAAUGGACGAAAGUCUGACGGAGCAACGCCGCGUGAGUGAAGAAAGGUUUUCGGAUCGUAAAACUCUGUUGUCAGAGAAGAACAAGUUGGAGAGUAACUGCUCCAGCCUUGACGGUAUCUGACCAGAAAGCCACGGCUAACUACGUGCCAGCCGCUGC
This 516-nucleotide ribosomal RNA is filed under the name uncultured bacterium. Its description in RNAcentral is "bacterial SSU rRNA". It matches the Rfam family "Bacterial small subunit ribosomal RNA", at positions 29 to 518 of the family's 1533-position model. The record is from RNAcentral.